UACGAAGGGUGCAAGCGUUACUCGGAAUUACUGGGCGUAAAGGGCUCGUAGGUGGCCAACUAAGUCAGACGUGAAAUCCCUCGGCUUAACCGGGGAACUGCGUCUGAUACUGGAUGGCUUGAGAUUGGGAGAGGGACGCGGAAUUCCAGGUGUAGCGGUGAAAUUCGUAGAUAUUGGGAAGAACACCGGUGGCGAAGGCGGCGACCUGGUCCGAUACUGACGCUGAGGCGCGAAAGCGUGGGGAGCAAACAGG
RNAcentral lists this ribosomal RNA (253 nucleotides) under uncultured bacterium. RNAcentral describes it as "partial 16S ribosomal RNA". It matches the Rfam family "Bacterial small subunit ribosomal RNA", at positions 524 to 776 of the family's 1533-position model. The record is from RNAcentral.